Molecule: non-coding RNA, 727 nt
Organism: Paralichthys olivaceus (Japanese flounder)
Lineage: Eukaryota; Metazoa; Chordata; Actinopteri; Pleuronectiformes; Paralichthyidae
Source: RefSeq, a predicted model, not a curated record
CUUCACUGGCUGAUCCAUGACGGUCCUUCCUGAGGCGGAGGCUUCUGCGCAGACUGGCUGUGGUCAAACACGCACAGAGACUCCUCCUCCAGGUCGUCAUCCAGAUCCUCCGGCAGCGGCGGCAGCACCGGGUCAAAGUUCUUCUGGGCCACCGUGUCGUGGGCUGACAGCACGGCCUGCAUGAACAACCCAAUCACAUGCAAAGGUCCCGAGGGGAGGACUGAGAGGGGUGAGGUCGCCUUCACGCUGCUGAUGCCAUCUGCCCACCACUCUGCGGUCGGAGGAAAUGCACCGAGCCGCAGGGAGGAGGAGGGGACAUGGCGUGGAUGGAUUAUGAGACAAAUAAACAAAAACACGCCCACUCGAUGAGAGCAAGACACCCGGACUGAAGGAGACAGAGACAACAACCGAUGAGACAGAGUCUUCAUGGUUCCGUUUUACGGCUACUUCUCUGCUUGAAGACAUUUUGUUCCACUUCAUGUAGUUUUGUGUUUCUUCACGGUCUGUUAACGUCUCUUUAAUGUUGUUUCCAUCUCUUUAUCGUCUGUUAUUGUCUCUGUGUUGUCAUGUUUCAUUCAGGUGGUUGCUUUUACUUUCUUGUAGGUCAUACAGCAUCUCUUUUGAGGUAGUAUGUUGCCUCUCUGCAUCCUUUAUGAGUCUUAUUACAUCCCUCUGCAUUUUUCGUUGCAUCUUUCUUCUGUCUCUUUGCAUCUCUCUUCUGUCCCUU